UUGCCUUCACCAUAUGCAGCAAUGUGCUCUUUGUGCUUCAGGCCAAGCUUCUCAAUAGCCUUCAAAAUGACUUCAUAGCCUCCAUCUUCCCUCAUCGACUUGGUGCUGGAAAAAAAUUCAAAGGUUUUUAACUCAUAGGAAAAGAUAGAUAUGAAGAUAAAAGUUGAAUGAAUUAAAUGUUAUGCUCUACCUUUCCAAAGUUUUACUCAUAGGAACAGAUGGAUAUGAAGAUAAAAGUCGAAUAAAUAAGUGUUAUUCCUCUUACCUGUAGUUUGUGUGAGCACCUGCACCGUUCCAAUCGCCCUGAUAACAAAGAAAAUAUUCAUCGUUAAUACACACCUUAUUCCAAAUGAUAACAGUUCAUACCAGCAACGUAAGUAAUCCCAUAGGCGGAGACCAGAUUGUAUCCAACAUGUUUCCACAAUCAAAUCAAAGAACUUGUAAGGUACAUAGUAGAAAACUCACCGGAAUAGGCUUGGGGUCAAAUGACACAACCACUCCAGCAAUCUCCGCAAUCCUCUGUUUAACCACCAAGUCAAUAAGUAAUUUGCAUUCAAGCUCAACAAAAAUAGCAAGAGAAUUGGAUUAAAACGGACCAAAUGGUCGAUAAAUGUCAUCAGUUAAUAGCUGACAAUACCUCAAGAAUGUAACGAGCUACCCACACUUCAUCACCAGCUGAGAUGCCAACAGAAGGUCCGACUUGGAAUUCCCACUGCAUAAGUUUAAGCAAAAACACAUUAACAACAACAACAACCCAGUAUAAUCCUACUUAGUAGGGUCUGGGGAGGGUAGUGGGUACGCAGACCUUACCCCUACCCUUGGGUAGAGAGUCUGUUUCCAAAUAGACCCCCGGCAUACUUCCCUCCAAGAACUUCCCACCUUGCUCUUGGGCAGACUCGAACUCACAACAUCUCAGUUGGAAGUGGGGGUUGCUUACCAUCAGAGCAGAAACACGUUAAAUAUUUGUGAAAUCGUUCAAUUAUGGUUAGAUGGGAAAACAAGAACGCCUCUAUACCUG
RNAcentral lists this long non-coding RNA (1018 nucleotides) under Nicotiana benthamiana. RNAcentral describes it as "long non-coding RNA (NBEN_LNC026866)". Lineage: Eukaryota; Viridiplantae; Streptophyta; Magnoliopsida; Solanales; Solanaceae. The record is from RNAcentral.